AUUGAACGCUGGCGGCAUGCCUUACACAUGCAAGUCGAACGGCAGCACGGGAGCAAUCCUGGUGGCGAGUGGCGAACGGGUGAGUAAUAUAUCGGAACGUGCCCGGUCGUGGGGGAUAACGUAGCGAAAGCUACGCUAAUACCGCAUACGAUCUACGGAUGAAAGCGGGGGAUCGCAAGACCUCGCGCGAUUGGAGCGGCCGAUAUCAGAUUAGGUAGUUGGUGAGGUAAAGGCUCACCAAGCCGACGAUCUGUAGCUGGUCUGAGAGGACGACCAGCCACACUGGGACUGAGACACGGCCCAGACUCCUACGGGAGGCAGCAGUGGGGAAUUUUGGACAAUGGCGCAAGCCUGAUCCAGCAAUGCCGCGUGCAGGAUGAAGGCCUCGGUU
Molecule: ribosomal RNA, 391 nt
Filed under: uncultured bacterium
Lineage: Bacteria
Description: bacterial SSU rRNA
Rfam family: Bacterial small subunit ribosomal RNA
Source: RNAcentral